RNAcentral lists this long non-coding RNA (199 nucleotides) under Solanum tuberosum (potato). RNAcentral describes it as "long non-coding RNA (STUB_LNC001766)". The record is from RNAcentral. Lineage: Eukaryota; Viridiplantae; Streptophyta; Magnoliopsida; Solanales; Solanaceae.
UAUAGUUCAGGAUUAGAUUUACAACAAUAAGCAUUGAAGUAAAAGACGCAAGUUGCUUUAUCUGGUCCAUGUUGCUCUUUGGUAAGUACUUCUUGAGAUGAGUGGUUUUUGCUUUUUACUCUUCAAAAUCUGUGAUGCAAAAACUAAGGUUGUGUCUGUGUGAGGAUGUCCUUAUGAGAAUAGACACAACCUUCAAGAC